RNAcentral lists this ribosomal RNA (339 nucleotides) under uncultured Pseudomonadota bacterium. RNAcentral's name for it is "bacterial SSU rRNA". It matches the Rfam family "Bacterial small subunit ribosomal RNA", at positions 29 to 351 of the family's 1533-position model. Lineage: Bacteria; Pseudomonadati; Pseudomonadota. The record is from RNAcentral.
AACUAACGCUAGCGGCGUGCCUAACACAUGCAAGUCGUACGAGAAAGUCGGCUUCGGCUGAUGAGUAAAGUGGCGCACGGGUGAGUAACGCGUGGAUAAUCUACCUCUAUCUGGGGGAUAACCCAUCGAAAGGUGGGCUAAUACCGCAUAAUCCGGCUGAUUUUUGGAUUGGCCGGCAAAGGUGGCCUCUUGAUCAAAGCUACCGGGUUGAGAUGAGUCCGCGUCCCAUUAGCUUGUUGGUAGGGUAACGGCCUACCAAGGCGACGAUGGGUAGCUGGUCUGAGAGGACGAUCAGCCACACUGGAACUGGUACACGGUCCAGACUCCUACGGGAGGCUG